CAGUCGCCGCGGUAAUACGUAGGUGGCAAGCGUUGUCCGGAAUUAUUGGGCGUAAAGGGCUCGCAGGCGGUUUCUUAAGUCUGAUGUGAAGGCCCCCGGCUCAACCGGGGAGGGUCAUUGGAAACUGGGAAACUUGAGUGCAGAAGAGGAGAGUGGAAUUCCACGUGUAGCGGUGAAAUGCGUAGAGAUGUGGAGGAACACCAGUGGCGAAGGCGACUCUCUGGUCUGUAACUGACGCUGAGGAGCGAAAGCGUGGGGAGCGAACAGGAUUAGAUACCCGGGUAGUCCCUGUCUCUUAUAC
Molecule: ribosomal RNA, 301 nt
Filed under: uncultured bacterium
Lineage: Bacteria
Description: partial 16S ribosomal RNA
Rfam family: Bacterial small subunit ribosomal RNA
Source: RNAcentral